Molecule: long non-coding RNA, 1844 nt
Organism: Micropterus salmoides (largemouth bass)
Lineage: Eukaryota; Metazoa; Chordata; Actinopteri; Centrarchiformes; Centrarchidae
Exons: 3
Source: RefSeq, a predicted model, not a curated record
UUGCCUUAUCGUUCCAAUACUUUUGGAGGGGACUGUAUCAUCUAGUGAGUGCAAACUAUGAGAUUAUCGAUUACUCUCUAUUUGCUUGGAUCCUCCUAGGUUCAGGAGUGCUGGAACCAUUAACUGGCUUUCCAAACCAUAUAGAGUAAACCGUUAAACUUCAAUUAAUACCCCAGGCUUUUAUUUUGCUUCGAUCUCUGAACUCACACUGCCUAUUUUUGGGACAGGUGUCUAUAUGGGAAGUAGGCUAAAAUCAAAUUGUUUCUUUCAACCAGUAUGAAUAUCACUUGUAUAAAAACUUGAUCUAGCACCAAGAGACAGCCCAUCAAGACCAACCUCAAGCACAGAGAGGGACCGAUCGACCAUACCGGUAAAUUUGAAUAAAUAAUACUUUUGGUGCUCAUUGUUUUUGUAAAAUGAACGGCAGAAUUUCUAAAAUUCUAACGAUAUAUAGCAUGUCCAUAUUGACAAAAGUUGAAACAUUUAUAGUGGUAUGCAAGAUCUUGGCAGCUUGGGUCAAGCAGGUGCCCCAGUGGGCUUUCAGAGGUUUUAUACAUCCAAAGAACGUCAAUGUAAACCAGACCAGGCUUCUAAUUGAGCAGUGUUUAUUUGUGAAAAUGUGCCGCAAAAGGGACAGGCAUCUAAGUGAAGUUUUACGUUAUGUGAUAAGUCCAGUAGAACUACAAAAUGUAAAGUGUUCUAUAUUUUAUCGAUAAUAAAGGCGUUCUAACAUAAGCCGCUUUGGAUGAAAGCGUCAGCUAAAUGAGUAAUUGUAGAUGUAAUAAAGAGGGGUGCAUUUAUUUUAUGUCCCUUAUUAACUAGGUUUUGGACAGAUAUGCAGGAAUUUAUGUUCAAUAAAACCAUGUAUUUAGGAUUUAAUUGGGGGUAAAGACAUUUUGGCUAAAUUUGAAAGUGACAAAUAUUUUUAGUUCUAGCGUAAAUUCUUCACAUUGAUUGUUGUCCAAUCUGUUUAUUGGUUUUAAUGCGGGGAAAAAACAGCAACAAGAUGAAGGUGUUACAUCAAAUGUAGCUGCCAAUAUAAUCAGAGACCAAACAAGGCACACAAUAAACGGAGGAAUAAAGGAUGCAACAUUAUACAUGAGGGUCUAGUAACUUUACUGUAUUAAUGAGAAGUUGUUAACAAUCAUAAUAUAUUUUAUGUUUUGUUUAAUAAAUAUUAUUGUUAAAUAUCGGUUUAUAUUUUAUAUUAUAUUAUUGUAUUUUGUUACAUCUAUAUUAUUAGUUUAGAAUAAUAUUUGUAUACACCUUUAGCUUUACCUUUAGUUUUAUAGUUAAAAUAACAUUUUCAAUAAUAUGCACUACACAUGCAUAAAAGUGAAAAUGCUCCUUAUAAUUAAAGUUAUUUUUUAAACCUUGUGUUUUAUAAUUUUGGCUCUUCCACGCCAGACCCGGAAGCUGCUUGACGGGGCACAGCGAACACGUGGUUUUGAUAAAGACAUAAAUUGAGCCUCAGCUUCAUUAACAGCCUCUCUUCCUUGUUGCGGUGGUGCUGGUCGGUCAUGUUUAGGUGGAGAGACGAAGACCCAUGUGCAUGAAGCUCCAUUUACGGAUGUUCAGUGCCUGGACUGGAUUUAUCUUGAUGAGGUAACUGGAAAAGAGUCCACUGCUGGAUCACCCCAGUUUGUUUGUUUUUGUUCUUUGUUGAAGCCUAAAAGGACAAAGCUGAAUGUUGUAGGGCAAGUUUAAAACCCAUAAGUAUGACUUGCUUCUGGGAAUGUCUUAUCUAUGCACAUGAAUAGGAUCCAAAUCCCUACUUAAACUAGUCUUGACACUGUGUGAACUGUUUCACUGGUAAAUAAAGUGUUAUCAAGUGUUGGACUGUG